This 248-nucleotide ribosomal RNA is filed under the name uncultured bacterium. Its description in RNAcentral is "partial 16S ribosomal RNA". It matches the Rfam family "Bacterial small subunit ribosomal RNA", at positions 525 to 772 of the family's 1533-position model. The record is from RNAcentral.
ACGUAGGGGGCAAGCGUUAUCCGGAUUUACUGGGUGUAAAGGGAGCGUAGACGGCUUGAUAAGUCUGAAGUGAAAGGCCAAGGCUUAACCAUGGAACUGCUUUGGAAACUAUGAGGCUAGAGUGCUGGAGAGGUAAGCGGAAUUCCUAGUGUAGCGGUGAAAUGCGUAGAUAUUAGGAGGAACACCAGUGGCGAAGGCGGCUUACUGGACAGAAACUGACGUUGAGGCUCGAAAGCGUGGGGAGCAAA